This 236-nucleotide unclassified non-coding RNA is filed under the name Ascomycota sp. RNAcentral's name for it is "partial contains small subunit ribosomal RNA, internal transcribed spacer 1, and 5.8S ribosomal RNA". The stretch from base 1 to 47 matches the Rfam family "Eukaryotic small subunit ribosomal RNA", at positions 1785 to 1831 of the family's 1831-position model. The record is from RNAcentral. Lineage: Eukaryota; Fungi; Ascomycota.
AAAGUCGUAACAAGGUCUCCGUAGGUGAACCUGCGGAGGGAUCAUUACAGAGAACAUUGCCCCUACGGGGUGACUCUCCAACCCAAUGUUAUUAUACCUUUGUUGCUUUGGCGAGCCGUCUCGGCCACCGGCUCACGCUGGUGAGUGCUCGCCAGAGGAUCUCAAACUCUGAAUUAAAGUAUUGUCUGAGUAUUAUAUAAUAGUUAAAACUUUCAACAACGGAUCUCUUGGUUCUG